UAUUCAUUAUUCACAUUAUGCAAAUAAUUGAUCUCUGUGAAAUAUUUUUAAAAAGCUUUUGAACAGUCCAGUCCAGUGCAGCCUCUCCACUGAUUUAAGAUGCAUCAAGACUUGUGUUUGUUGUACCAUGGCUUUCUGAACAACUUGGUUAUCAACUUAGUGAGAUUACACUGCAGUGGUGCAUAUUGCUAGCCUGCAACAACCCUCAAUUUCAACAUGUCCGAUUCAAGGUGCAGCGUGUAAGAUUGUGACCCAGGGACCACCAGUGGAGCAGGUCGCCAUUCAUAAACGCCACAAUGUUGUUCCACCAUGCACUGCUUGGACAAUGAGCAAGAAGAAAGUAGAAGAAAGAACACCCCUACCUCUAAACUCUGUAAGGUUAACACUGUGAACUCCCAUGCCCCUAGAGCUGUCAUGCCCUCCAGUAUAAACUUGCUAAACAAAUCUUUGCAAGUGAUAUUUAUUUGUUUGUAUGACCUUUAUUUUACCAGGACGUCCAAUUGAGAUCAAGAUUUCUUUUUCAAGGGAGACCUGGUCAAGAUGGCAGCCAUACAGAUUUACAGCAUAUUAAAAAUCAACACAUACAACACAAUAUACCAUAAUUCCAUUCACAAGAUCAAAACAAUGGACUCUCAAUGGAUGUCUCCUUCACCGCAUUCUUUAUGAUGUCCUUAACUUCAACAAUAGAUAUGAAUGUGUCUAACUUUAGAUCUUUCUACAAGUUAUUCCAUGACCGAGGUGCAUAAUAGGAAAAAUCUGUUUUUUCCAAAUUUGUAAAAAUUCAAGAUAAAUUAAAAAGUAACCACCUGAAACAGUGUAGCUGGUAACCACCAGAGAUAAGACACAACAAGGUACAAAGAUAAGGUGGAGGUUUAGAUAAAAAUACACCAGUGCUUUUAUGUAUAAAGGGUCAGUCAUGUCCACCCCACUAACUCAAACAAAUUCAGUGGUGAGUACAAGACUUUGCAUUUGUAAUGAAAUCCAAGGAUGUAUGCACUAAUCAAGGCUUUGUAAAAUAGAGGAGGCUACAUGCAUAUAUAAUAUAUCGCCAAAAUCAAUCACAGGUAGAAAGUAGUUUCCAAGUUUUUUCAUAGCACUGUAAGUAAAACGCAUUUUAUCUCUAAAA
Long non-coding RNA from Monopterus albus (swamp eel), 1126 nucleotides. RefSeq lists it as uncharacterized. The transcript has 3 exons. NCBI's taxonomy places the organism in Eukaryota, Metazoa, Chordata, Actinopteri, Synbranchiformes, Synbranchidae. The record is from RefSeq and is a predicted model, not a curated record.